This 253-nucleotide ribosomal RNA is filed under the name uncultured bacterium. Its description in RNAcentral is "partial 16S ribosomal RNA". It matches the Rfam family "Bacterial small subunit ribosomal RNA", at positions 524 to 776 of the family's 1533-position model. The record is from RNAcentral.
GACAGAGGUCCCGAGCGUUAGGCGGAAUCACUGGGCUUAAAGCGUGUGUAGGCGGAUCGUUAAGUACCUUGUGAAAUCCCACGGCUUAACUGUGGAACUGCUUGGUAUACUGGCGAUCUUGAGCCACUUAGGGGCAACCGGAACAAACGGUGGAGCGGUGAAAUGCGUAGAUAUCAUUUGGAACGCCAAUGGUGAAAACAACUCGCUGGGGAAGUGCUGACGCUGAGACACGAAAGCCAGGGGAGCGAACGGG